Molecule: ribosomal RNA, 104 nt
Filed under: Ornithocephalus inflexus
Lineage: Eukaryota; Viridiplantae; Streptophyta; Magnoliopsida; Asparagales; Orchidaceae
Description: partial 18S ribosomal RNA
Rfam family: Eukaryotic small subunit ribosomal RNA
Source: RNAcentral
GUUCGCCGCCCGUGACUCGGCGAGAAGUUCAUUGAACCUUAUCAUUUAGAGGAAGGAGAAGUCGUAACAAGGUUUCCGUAGGUGAACCUGCGGAAGGAUCAUUG